This 253-nucleotide ribosomal RNA is filed under the name uncultured bacterium. Its description in RNAcentral is "partial 16S ribosomal RNA". It matches the Rfam family "Bacterial small subunit ribosomal RNA", at positions 524 to 776 of the family's 1533-position model. The record is from RNAcentral.
UACGGAGGGGGCUAGCGUUGUUCGGAAUUACUGGGCGUAAAGCGCACGUAGGCGGCUUUGUAAGUUAGAGGUGAAAGCCCAGGGCUUAACCCUGGAAUUGCCUUUAAGACUGCAUCGCUAGAAUCGUGGAGAGGUGAGUGGAAUUCCGAGUGUAGAGGUGAAAUUCGUAGAUAUUCGCAAGAACACCAGUGGCGAAGGCGGCUCACUGGCCCGAUACUGACGCUGAGGCACGAAAGCGUGGGGAGCAAACAGG